RNAcentral lists this ribosomal RNA (643 nucleotides) under uncultured bacterium. RNAcentral's name for it is "bacterial SSU rRNA". The stretch from base 1 to 542 matches the Rfam family "Bacterial small subunit ribosomal RNA", at positions 338 to 873 of the family's 1533-position model. The record is from RNAcentral.
CCUACGGGAGGCAGCAGUAAGGAAUAUUGGUCAAUGGAGGCAACUCUGAACCAGCCAUGCCGCGUGCAGGAAGACGGCCCUAUGGGUUGUAAACUGCUUUUAUCUGGGAAUAAACCUAUUUACGUGUAAGUAGCUGAAUGUACCAGAAGAAUAAGGAUCGGCUAACUCCGUGCCAGCAGCCGCGGUAAUACGGAGGAUCCAAGCGUUAUCCGGAUUUAUUGGGUUUAAAGGGUGCGUAGGCAGCAGUUUAAGUCAGAGGUGAAAGACGGUAGCUCAACUAUCGCAGUGCCUUUGAUACUGAAUUGCUUGAAUGAACUAGAGGUAGGCGGAAUGAGACAAGUAGCGGUGAAAUGCAUAGAUAUGUCUCAGAACACCGAUUGCGAAGGCAGCUUACUAUGGUUUUAUUGACGCUGAGGCACGAAAGCGUGGGGAUCAAACAGGAUUAGAUACCCUGGUAGUCCACGCCCUAAACGAUGAAUACUCGCUGUUAAGUCGAUAUACUAGUUAGUCGGCGUAGACGAAAGACGUUAAGUUAAGUUACCUACCGUAACGGGUAGGUACGUUCGUUCGUCGAAGAGUAGAACGUUACGAAUAGAAGUUAGAGGACGNGAGAGAGCGACGGACGACGACGAGGGAGGAGGAG